ACCGUUGUGGUCUAGUGGUUGGGAUUCCCGGCUCUCACCCGCGAGGCCCGGGUGCGAUUCCCGGCAACGGAG
RNAcentral lists this transfer RNA (72 nucleotides) under Toxocara canis (dog roundworm). It matches the Rfam family "tRNA". Rfam says of the family: Transfer RNA (tRNA) molecules are approximately 80 nucleotides in length. Their secondary structure includes four short double-helical elements and three loops (D, anti-codon, and T loops). The record is from Rfam by way of RNAcentral. Lineage: Eukaryota; Metazoa; Nematoda; Chromadorea; Rhabditida; Toxocaridae.